CCCGUAGGGGGCAAGCGUUGUCCGGAAUCAUUGGGCGUAAAGCGCGUGUAGGCGGCCAGAAAAGUCCGCUGUGAAAACUCGAGGCUCAACUUCGAGCUGUCGGUGGAAACUUUCUGGCUAGAGUCCGGAAGAGGAGAAUGGAAUUCCUGGUGUAGCGGUGAAAUGCGCAGAUAUCAGGAAGAACACCCGUGGCGAAGGCGGUUCGCUGGGACGGUACUGACGCUGAGACGCGAAAGCGUGGGGAGCGAACAGG
Molecule: ribosomal RNA, 253 nt
Filed under: uncultured bacterium
Lineage: Bacteria
Description: partial 16S ribosomal RNA
Rfam family: Bacterial small subunit ribosomal RNA
Source: RNAcentral